Molecule: ribosomal RNA, 1451 nt
Filed under: uncultured bacterium
Lineage: Bacteria
Description: bacterial SSU rRNA
Rfam family: Bacterial small subunit ribosomal RNA
Source: RNAcentral
AUGAACGCUGGCGGCGUGGAUAAGGCAUGCAAGUCAAGGGGGCCCGCAAGGGCAACCGGCAAACGGGGUAGUAACACGUAGGUACUUACCGUUCACACGGGCAUAACUCAUCGAAAGGUGAGCUAAUACCCGAUGGUUCCCGAAAGGGUAAAGGUUUCGAGCAAUUGAAACCGGUGGAUGAAAGGCCUGCGGGCUAUCAGCUAGUUGGUAGGGUAAUGGCCUACCAAGGCAAUGACGGCUAGGGGAGGUGAGAGCCUGACCCCCACCACUGGGACUGCGACACGGCCCAGACACCUACGGGUGGCUGCAGUCGAGAAUCUUCCACAAUGGGCGAAAGCCUGAUGGAGCGACGCCGCGUGCAGGAUGAAGACCUUCGGGUUGUAAACUGCUUUUAUGGGGGAAGAACCUUCGGGUGACUGUACCCCAAGAAUAAGGGCUUGCUAACCUCGUGCCAGCAGCCGCGGUAAUACGAGGGGCCCAAGCGUUAUCCGGAAUUACUGGGCGUAAAGGGUCCGUAGGGGGCUAUGUUAGUCUUUCGUUAAAUCUUCCGGCUUAACCCGGAAAAGUGCGAGGGAAACGGCAUGGCUUGAAGACAUGAGAGUCAGGUGGAACUCACAGUGUAGGGGUGAAAUCCGUUGAUAUUGUGGGGAACACCAAAGGCGAAAGCAAUCUGCUGGCGCGUACCUGACCCUGAGGGACGAAAGCGUGGGGAUCGAAAAGGAUUAGAUACCCUUGUAGUCCACGCCCUAAACGAUGAUGACUGGCUAUUGGAAGUAUCGACCCUUCCAGUGGCGAAGCUAACGCGUUAAGUCAUCCGCCUGGGAAGUACGGCCGCAAGGCUAAAACUCAAAGGAAUAGACGGGGACUCGCACAAGCGGUGGAGCAUGUGGUUCAAUUCGAUGGUAAGCGAAGCACCUUACCAGGGCUUGACAUUCCAGUGAACCUCGACAGAAACGUUGAGGGUCUCACAAGGACACUGGAACAGGUGAUGCAUGGUUGUCGUCAGUUCGUGGUGUGAAUCGUUCCCUUAAGUGGGGUAACGAACGCAACCCCUGUCCUGCGUUACAAGUGUCGCAGGAGACCGCCCCCGCCAAAAUUUUCGAACAGAGUUCAAAAAUUUUGGCGGGGGAGGAAGGUGGGGAUGACGCCAAAUCAGCAUGUCCCUCUGACGCCCUGGGCUACACACAUGCUACAAUGGCCGGUACAAAGGGAAGCUAAGCCGUAAGGUGGAGCAAAUCCCUCGAAAACCGGUCUCAGUUCGGAUUGAGGUCUGCAACUCGACCUCAUGAAGUUGGAAUCGCUAGUAAUCGCGGAUCAGCACGCCGCGGUGAAUACGUUCUCGGGUCUUGUACUCACCGCCCGUCACGUCAAGGGAGCCGGGAGUACCCGAAGUCUCACAUAUGUGGGCCGAAGGUAAGCUCGGUAACAGGGACGAAGUCGUAACAAGGUAA